Molecule: long non-coding RNA, 689 nt
Filed under: Homo sapiens (human)
Lineage: Eukaryota; Metazoa; Chordata; Mammalia; Primates; Hominidae
Description: non-protein coding lnc-AUNIP-2:8
Source: RNAcentral
AGCUGCGCACCGAGGCGCACCUCCGCGCACCCUCAGGAGGCGGGUCCAGCUCGGUGGCGAGGGGAGCGCGGCCCCCGAGUGGGCGAGGCGCUGGCGGCUGUAGGCUCCGAUACCGCGGAGCACACUCCCCUCCAUCGAGACCGUGCCCCCGCGGGGUCUGUGUCCCCGGGAGGAGUUGGCUGCGUUUGGAGAUCCCUCGGCCUGAGAGCACCAGAUUCUCAAAACAGUAAGUCCUACCACUUGUUCUAUCGUAAAACUUAUUUUGGGCAAGUCACUCAAGCCUUCGAUAGGUAAGAUAGUACCUGAAAGCAUUCCAGCUCAACUCUGCCCCAAGAGGGAGCCACCCCAUGGAAGGACGGAGCUGAGCAACAUGCCACUCAAAGGAAAAGCACUUAGAACCACUCUAAUGCAGACUUUGGAGCCACAUGUGGGUUUGAAUCUCAACUCUACCUGAGUGACCCUGGGCAAGUCACUUCACUUCCCUGAGACUCAAGUUUCAUCAAGAUGGGAACAAUGAGCAUCUGCCUCACAGGCUUGUCGUGAGGAUUAAGUGAGAAGGUGCAGCUGCAAAGACAUCAAGCUGGACCCAUCGAGGAUUUCGGAUUCAGCCAUCAUGGGGCUGCUGCCGGGGAAGCCACUGCCCCUCCUUUCUCCUCAGCACUGGGGUUAUAAAAAAAUACCUACAAACC